GACGGAGGGUGCAAACGUUGUUCGGAAUUACUGGGCGUAAAGCGUGCGCAGGCGGCGCGUUAAGACAGGUGUGAAAGCCCCGAGCUUAACUUGGGAAUUGCGCUUGUGACUGGCGAGCUGGAGUGUGGCAGAGGGAGGUGGAAUUCCACGUGUAGCAGUGAAAUGCGUAGAGAUGUGGAGGAACACCGAUGGCGAAGGCAGCCUCCUGGGCCAGCACUGACGCUCAUGCACGAAAGCGUGGGGAGCAAACAGG
This 253-nucleotide ribosomal RNA is filed under the name uncultured bacterium. RNAcentral describes it as "partial 16S ribosomal RNA". It matches the Rfam family "Bacterial small subunit ribosomal RNA", at positions 524 to 776 of the family's 1533-position model. The record is from RNAcentral.